Molecule: long non-coding RNA, 38742 nt
Filed under: Durio zibethinus
Lineage: Eukaryota; Viridiplantae; Streptophyta; Magnoliopsida; Malvales; Malvaceae
Description: long non-coding RNA (DZIB_LNC001454)
Source: RNAcentral
GAUUUGAAUUCUCAAAUGCGUGGUGUGUAAAAAAAAAAAGAGAAAAAUAGAAAUAAAUGUGGCUCUAGGGUGAAAACCCUCAAAAGGGUAGUCUAGAGCCAACCCUGAAAGGUCACUUCUGAUGCUAAGUAUGGUGGAUGCUAAACAAAAGUAAAGCCAAACCUUUUGAAAGAUCUAAAAUAUCAAAGCCAUAGAAGUCUGAGAUGGGUUGAUUAUUCCCAAAAAACCCUUUAAAAUCUUAAGCCCUUACAGCUGAUCUUAACAUAUAUCAAAAUGUCGCAUUUGGAGACUAAGAAAAAUGUUGAAUAUGUUUGAUUUUCAAGGAAUUCAUGCUUUUAGAAAAGCUUGUGUUUCAUUUGUGAGCUUGCAUGCCUCUUUCACUCCCCUCCAAGGAUUGGAACCUUUUGAAUCAACAUCGCUAUCUACAAAACUAUUACAUCCAUUUGGAAAGAAAAUCCUCACCUUUUUCAUUUUUGAUAGGGAUCGCCAAAUUCUGAAAAGGAAUAAAAUAAAAUAAAAUAAAAUUUAAGCCUAGUUUAUCUGGUCUCAAAUGAAGAUUUAAGCCCAGUUUAUUUGGCCAUCAAUGAUAUUUAAGCCUAGUGUAUCUGGCCAUUAAUGAAGCUUUAAGCCCAGUUUAUCUGGCUCUCAAUGAAACUUUAAGCCCAGUUUAUUUGGCCAUUAAUGAAGCUUUAAGCCCAGUUCAUCUGGCCAUCAAUGAGGUUUUAAACCUAGUUUAUCUGGCUUCAAAUGAAGAUUUAAGCCCAGUUUAGCUAGCCUUCAAUAAAUUUAAGCCAAGUUUAUUUAGCCCCAAAAGAAGUUUUAGAGUUUCAAAGUUCUAUCCAUAAUAAAAUUUCUCGAUACAUAACCUUUUGAAAGAUCUUGCAUUUGCAUUACUUGUAUCAUAAGAAAGACAUUUAACCUAAAAAAAAAGAGAUAUUCAAAUUUGCAUCGCUUAUCUGUGCAUCAUGAAAGGGAUAUUUGCAUUUGCAUCACUUACAUCUGUACUACAAGAAAGACAUUUGCAUUUGCAUCACUUGCAUUUGCACUUGCACAAGAUAUUUGCAUUCGCACCAUAAAAAAAAAUUUCAUAUUUGCAAAACUAUGGCAUCCGCAUCCUAAGAAAAGGUAUUUAUAGAAGCAUUUACAUGAAAAGAACAUUGUCAUUGUCAAAUAUAGUUGCAUCAAGCAUUCACAUCCUUGCAUUUGCAUUGAAAUUUAUAUUUUUAUCAACAUUUCCAUUAGCAUCAUUUGAUCAAGAUGGACAUUUGUAUCAUUGAUUGCAUUCAUUAAAUCUGAUUGAAAAAGAAAAAACAUUUUCAAAAAAAAAUUUCAAAUUUUAAAGUUUCAUCACCUCUGAUUAUGAGGAGCAUUUAAAGAUUUUGAGAUUUGUAAGACCUCUGGGCAUAAUCUCUAAAAGCCUCUGGGCAUGACUUUCAAGAUUAAAAGAUUUUCAAAUUUUACAAUUUCAUCACUUCUGAUUAUAAGGAGCAUUCAAAGAUUUUGAGAUUUGUAAGACCUCUAGGCAUAAUUUUGAUUUGCGGUGUUGUCUCGAUCGAUUUUUUAUUUCUGACUUGCAAUGUUACCCGAGUCAAUUCUGUAAGACCUUCGGGCAUGAUUCUGUAAGACAUUCGAGCACGAUUUCUAAGACCUCCGGGCAUAAUUUCGAUUCACGAUAUUAUCCCGAUCAAUUCCUUAUCUUUCGACUUACGAUUUUAUUCCAGUCGAUUCUAUAAGACCUCCGGGCAUGAUUCUAUAAGACCUCCAGGUAUGAUUCUUAAGACCUCCGAGCGUAAUUUUGAUUCACGGUGUUAUCCCGAUCGAUUCCUUAUCUUUUGACUUACGAUGUUAUCCCAGUCGAUUUUGUAAGACCUUCAGACAUAAUUUCGAUUCGCGGUGUUAUCCCGAUCGAUUCUUUAUCUUUUGACUGCGAUGUUAUCCCAAUCUAUUCUGUAAGACCUCCGGGCAUAAUUUCGAUUGACGUGUGUUAUCUCGAUUGAUUUAUUAUUUUUUUAAACUUGCGGUGUCAUCCUAAUUGUUUUGUUUAAAAAAAAAAUUCAUGAUCCAUUUUCGGACAAAAUCAUUGUCUUUGUCUUUGCCCUAUUCCUGAUUCUCAGUAAUGUGCAAAGAGGGGCAGCUGUUGACAUCAAUUUUUUCCUCAAAAAUAAAAAUAAUAAUAUUAUACGAAAUACAAAAAAAAUAACAAAAAAAUAAAAAAAAGAAAAAUAAUUGAGGAUGGCAGUGGUGCCGCCACUACCACCAGGCCCACCACCCAUCACAUACCCUGUUCAUCCUACCCUACUACCAAAAAAUACAGAAGAAAUAAAGAGGUGGGCUUGUGUUUACAUCCCAUGAUCGAGCCCCAUUCCCUUUCCUCCAAACACAUAUGGCUGGAGCUCUAUAAAUAGAGCUCAUAGCGAAGCCAAAAUGGAUAGAAAAGAAGGAGGGGAAGAUUCUGUAAAAAAAACUACAAAAAAAAACAAAAACCAUAGUCCUCCCCACUGGGAGGAACCCAGCGCCGAAGCUAACUACAAAAGCAAGAAAAUAGAUCAGUCUUGCUUCAACAAAACAAACAAAAAAAAUUGAAAACAGAAACUUUGAGCCCUGAUCUACGUUGAUCGGGGCUAUUUUUGACAAAAAAGAGGUCAGAUCUUGAAAGAGCACAUUGAAGAGCGCUUCUGGAAGUAUUUUGGCAUUUUUCGAUCACCAGCGACCGACCGCCAGCGUUGACCCAGGCGACGGCUAGAGCGGUGGCCCGACGACCGAACGAUGGAUGGCCAGACCUCUCCCUCAGCUCUCUCUCUCCUUCUUUCCCUUUUUUUUUCUGAAACAAAAACCAAAUGAACCAAAAAAAAUCUUCAGCUAUAUAUAGUAAAGCAAAAACUCAAAAUCACGUCGUUUAGGGAAAGAUCCAAAACGACACCGUUUUAACCAAAGAGGACCCGCACGUGGACUCGGAUCCGAGAUCCACGUAAACUGACCCGUCAACCCGCUUCAUCCAACUUUGAACCAAUCCAGUAAAUCGAUCUGAGCCGGUCCGAACCACUAGACUGCUCGAACCACCUAUCGAAUCACAGAACCGAUCCAGACCAGCACUGACCGGACCGUUGACCGGUCAAGUUCAAGUAAAAAUAAAUUUUUUUUAAUUUUCUAAUUUUUUUAUAUUAUUAUUUUUGUUAUUUUAAGUAUAUUUUUAUAUUUAUGCAUGAUAAAUUUCUAAAUUUGUUAGAAUAAAUGUUUAAUUGUUUUAAUAAUAAUAAAAUUGAAAACAAAUAAUAGUUAAAAAUAUAUUAAAAAUGUCCAAAAAAAAUAUUUUUUAUUAUUAUUAUUAUUUUCCCUGCCUAGAUGUUGGAGGGAAUAAAAAAUAUUUUUCUAAAAGAUAAUUCCGCCUAGAUGUUGGGGAAUUAUUAUGAAAAAUUUUCAUAAAAAAACACAAGAAAUUUUUAAUUAGUUUUGAAAAAUUAUAAAAAAUUAAACUUGCUCCGAAAGUCUGCCUAGAUGAUGGGGAUUUUUAGAGAUGUUCGCGUUUUACUUAAAUCUUAAACACUAAUUUUUAAUUUUCAAAAUCCUAAGUUUUUAAAACCCUUAAAAAUCCAAAAUCCCCUAAAAUUCAAAACCUCUUAAAAUCCAAAGUCCUAAAAAUCCUAAAGUCAAGUGGGAAAAUUCUAUUUGAAGCAAUUUGUUCCCGAAUGCUGCCUAGAUGAUGGGGUAUUUAGAAAAUUUUACUUCGUUAAGUCUUUUCACAUGAUUUCUUAGUUUGCAUCAACAAUAAGAUUAAUAAAUAAAAAGUAUAAUAGUAAAUUGGGAGCUUAAAUAUAAACAGUCGCACCUAAGCUCUGCGUAGAUGUUGGAGAGUUAGGGUGGUCUUAUUAUACUUAAGAAUCCAACUUUUAAAUUAAAUUUCAUUUUACAUAACAUUCAUUGUACUAUUCUGUCUUUAAUUUUUAUUUGUACUACUUUUUUAAAAAAUUAUGAUAUUAUAAAAUAAAAUAAAAAUAACAUUCUGAAAGAAAUAAUUCUUGGUACACUGCCUAGACGUUGGAGAGUCACUAACAUUAUUUUCUAUAAAGAUUGUUAUUUUAUUUUAUGGAUUAUUGUGUUAAAUCUUAAGUAAAAAGAGUUAUUUUAAAUUCUGCCUAGAUUUUGGAGAAUUUUAAGAUAAUUCUUUAACUUAAAGAUUUUCUCAAUAUUUCUAAAUAAAUAUUUUAGCAAAAUUUUAUUCAAGUGAAGGGUAUUAGUGUUAAAUUUCAAAUUAAAAUCAUUUUUAUCCAACAUCGAAAAUAACGCGUAAUUAAAUGGUACCAAUUUAUGGGCGUUGUGGUGGUGCUAAUCCUUUCCCAUACGUAACCGACUCUCGGACCCAACCUUGUUUUUCGUAGACCAAAAUUAUCUUUUUGAUAAACUUUAAAUCCGUUUUAUAGUUUUAUUAAAAAGAUAAACUUUUGGGUGGCCAAUCACACCCUAACAAAGAUUGGUGGCGACUCCACUUUUUAUUUAUUUUUCUCUAUUUUAAAACAUCACUUUUAGGUCUGGCGAUCCCAAAACUGUUACAACAAUGUGUGAUGAGUGCUGGUACUUGCCCUUAUAUUGGCCCCCUAUCCCUCAUCAAACCUUAAGAACUCUCACCCCCUUAAAGAGCAUUUGAGAUUUUACAGGUUUGCGGCCAGUAGCCAUUAAAGUGUCUAAAAUGGGACAAUUUUUUUAAAUGGUCACAAAAUCCUGUACACUUCGAGUUUUUAGCUGAAUUUUUUUUUGCAUGCCAACAAAAAUACAAGGAUCACGUCUAAGAAGUUUGGGGCCAAAAAUCUUUCUGAAAAAAUUUUAAAAAAAUCCCGAACCAUAAAAAGUUUCAAAAAUCAUGAAAAAUAGAAAACGAGUCGUCUUGCCGUGAAACUUCACAUGAAGGCUUAAGGGACCAUUGUAUGAAUUUACAAGCCAUAAAAAUCGCAUUGGCAUGGCAGAAAUAUGAAGAUGUGCCUAAACCCACCCACCACCCUAUUGAUCCACGGCUUUCGCAUCCCGUCUCUCUGGCCGGCGUAAUGCCCGCCCGUCGGCUCGUUUCGUCGGUUGGCAUAGGCAUACGAAGUUCAUUCCCAGUCUAAGAUCGGACCAGAUUGAGGGUUGCGGCAGCAAAAUCGACAGUAUGCAGAGGGGGACUCGGCCGAUCCCUGGCUUGCGCAUCCUGCCCCUCUGGCAGGCUAAGCACCCGCAUGCUCGUUUCGUGGGUAGACUUAGGCAUACGGAGUUCAUUCCCAGUCUAAGCAUACGGAGUUCAUUCCAAGUGUAAGAUCGGACUGGACUGAGGCUUGUGGGUGCACAUGCUGGGCUUGGGCAUGUGCUGGUGCCGCAUUUUUUUCGCUCGGGGCGCCAUAGCCGGAGCAUCGCCGGAGAACCUAACCGGCGGCAUUGGAGGUUCCGGCGAUUUGGGGGGGCAAGGGGGGUGUAAGCACAUGAUGUGUGAUGGGUGCUGGUACAUGGCCCUUAUACUGGCCCCCUAUCCCUCAUCAAACCUCGAGAACUCACACCCCCUUAAAGAGCAUUUGAGAUUUUUACGGGUUUGCUGCCAGUAGCGAUUAAAGUGUCUGAAAUGGUGACAGUUUUUUCAAAUGGUCACAAAAUCUUGUACACUUCGAGUUUUUUCCUGAAUUUUUUUGUGCAUGCCAACAAAAAUACAAGGAUCAUGUCUACCAAGUUUGGGGCCAAAAAUCCUUCUGAAGAAAUUUUAAAAAAAUCCCAAACCGUAAAAAGUUUCAAAAAUCAUGAAAAAUAGAAAACGAGUCGUCUUGCCAUGAAACUUCACAUGAAGGCUUAAGGGACCAUUGUAUGAAUUUACAAGCCAUAAAAAAGGCAUUGGCAUGGUAGAAAUAUGAAGAUGCGCCUACACCCACCUACCACCCUAUCGAUCCACGGCUUGCGCAUCCCGCCUCUCUGGCCGACGUACUGCCCGCCCGCCCGUUCGUUUCGUCGGUUGGCUUAGGCAUACGGAGUUAUUCCCAGUCUAAAUCGAAUCAGACCGAGGGUUGUGGCAGCAGGAUCUGUAGCACACAGAGGGGGACCCGUCGAUCCCCGGCUUGUGCAUCCUGCCCCUCUGGCCGGCUGAGCGCCCGCACGCUCGUUUCGUGGGUUGACUUAGGCAUACGGAGUUCAUUCCCAGUCUAAGCAUACGGAGUUCAUUCCCAGUGUAAGAUCGGACCGGAUCGAGGGUUGCGGUGCACAUGCUGGGCUUGGCAUGUGCUGGUGCCGCAUUUUUUUUCCCGGGCACCAUCGUCGGAGCAUCCCGGAGAACCUGACCGACGGCAUUGGGGUUCCGCGAUUGGGGGGCGGGGGGUGUGCGCACAUGAUGUGCGAUGGGUGCUGGUACUUGGCCCUUAUAUUGGCCCCCUAUCCCUCAUCAAACCUCGAGAACUCACACCCCUUAAAGAGCAUUUGAGAUUUUACAGGUUUGCUGCCAGUAGCCAUUAAAGUGUCUGAAAUGGGGACACUUUUUUCAAAUGGUCACAAAAUCCUAUACACUUCGAGUUUUUAGCUGAAUUUUUUUUUGCAUGCCAACAAAAAUACAAGGAUCACGUCUACCAAGUUUGGGGCCAAAACUCCUUCUGAAAAAAUUUUAAAAAAAUCCUGAACCGUAAAAAGUUUCAAAAAUCAUGAAAAAUAGAAAAUGAGUCGUCUCACCAUGAAACUUCACAUGAAGGCUUAAGGGACCAUUGUAUGAAUUUACAAGCCAAAAAAAUGGCAUUGGCACGGUAGAAAUAUGAAGAUGUGCCUAAACCCACCUACCACCCUAUCGAUCCAUGGCUUGCGCAUCCCACCUCUUUGGCCGGCGUAGUACCCACCCGCCUGCUUGUUUCAUCGGUUGGCUUAGGCAUACGGGGUUCAUUCCCAGUCUAAGAUCGGAUCGAACCGAGGGUGUGCACACAUGAUGUGUGAUGGGUGCUGGUACUUGGCCCUUAUAUUGGCUCCCUAUCCCUCAUCAAACCUUGAGAACUCACACCCCCUUAAAGAGCAUUUGGGAUUUUACAGGUUUGCUGCCAGUAGCCAUUAAAGUGUCUAAAAUGGGAACACUUUUUUCAAAUGGUCAUAAAAUCCUGUACACUUCGAGUUUUUAGCUGAAGUUUUUUGUGCAUGCCAACAAAAAUACAAGGAUAACGUCUUCCAAGUUUGGGGCCAAAACUCCUUCUGAAAAAAAUUUCAAAAAAUCCCGAACCGUAAAAAGUUUCAAAAAUUAUGAAAAAUAGAAAACGAGUCGUCUUGCCAUGAAACUUCACAUGAAGGCUUAAGGGAUCAUUUUAUGAAUUUACAAGCCAUAAAAAUGGCAUUGGCAUGAUAGAAAUAUGAAGAUGUGCCUAAACCCACCUACGACCCUAUCGAUCCAUGGCUCGCGCAUCCCGCCUCUCUGGCUGGCGUAGUGCCCACCUGCCCGCUCAUUUCAUUGGUUGGCUUAGGCAUACAGAGUUCAUUCUCAAUCUAAGAUCGGACUGGACUGAAGCUUGCGACAGCCAGAUUGGCAGCACCUAGAGGGGGACUCGAUCGAUCCCCGUUUUGCACAUCGUGCCCCUCUGGCCGGUUGAGCGCCUGCACGCUCUUUUCAUGGGUUGACUUAGGCAUACGGAGUUCAUUCCCAGUCUAAGCAUACGGAGUUCAUUCCCAGUGUAAGAUCAGACCGGACCGAGGGUCAUGGGUGCACAUGCUGGGCUCGAGCAUGUGCUGGUGCCGUAUUUUUUUCGCCUAGGGCACCAUCAUCAGAGCAUUGCCGGAGAACCUGACUUGUGGCAUUGGGGGUUCCGGCGAUUGGGGGCGGGGGGUGUAAGCACAUGAUGUGCGAUGGGUGCUAGCACUUGGCCCUCAUAUUGGCCCCCUAUCCCUCAUCAAACCUCGAGAACUCACCCCCCUUAAAGAGCAUUUGAGAUUUUACAGGUUUACGGCCAGUAGCCAUUAAAGUGUCUGAAAUGGGACACUUUUUUCAAAUGGUCACAAAAUCUUGUACGCUUUGAGUUUUUAGCUGAAUGUUUUUGUGCAUGCCAACAAAAAUACAAGGAUUAUGUCUACCAAGUUUGGGGCCAAAAAUCCUUCUAAAAAAAUUUUAAAAAAAUCCUAAAUCGUAAAAAGUUUCAAAAAUCAUGAAAAAUAGAGAACGAGUCGUCUUGCCAUGAAACUUCACAUGAAGGCUUAAGGGACCAUUGUAUGAAUUUGCAAGCCAUAAAAAUAGCAUUGGCAUGGCAAAAAUAUGAAGAUGUCCCUAAACCCACCUACCACCCUAUCGAUCCACGGCUUGCGCAUCCCGUCUCUCUGGCCGACGUAGUGCCCGCCCACCCGCUUAUUUCGUCGGUUGGCUUAGGCAUACGGAGUUCAUUCCCAAUCUAAGAUCGGAUUGGAUUGAGAGUUGCGACAGCAGGAUCGACAGCAUGCAGAGCGGGGACCCGAUUGAUCCUCAGCUUGCUUAUCUUACCCCUCUGGUCGACUGAGCACCCGCACACUCGUUUCAUGGGUUGACUUAGGCAUACAGAGCUCAUUCCCAAUCUAAGCAUAUGGAGUUCAUUCUCAGUCGGGGCACCAUCACCGGACCAUCGUCGGAGAACCUGACCGGUGACAUUGGGGGUACCAAUGAUUGGGGGACAGGGGGAUGUGUGCACAUGAUGUGCGAUGGGUGCUCGUACUUGGCCCUUAUAUUGGCCCCCUAUCCCUCAGCAAACCUUAAGAACUCACACCCCUUAAAGAGCAUUUGAGAUUUUACAGGUUUGCUGCCAGUAGCCAUUAAAGUGUAUGGAAUGGGAACACUUUUUUCAAAUGGUCACAAAAUGCUGUACACUUCGAGUUUUUAGCUGAAUUUUUUUGUGCAUGCCAAAAAAAAUAAAAGGAUCACAUCUAUCAAGUUUGGGGCCAAAACUCCAUCUGAAAAAAUUUUAAAACAAUCCUGAAUCGUAAAAAGUUUUAAAAAUUGUGAAAAAUAGAAAGCGAGUCGUCUUGCCAUGAAACUUCACAUGAAGGCUUAACGGACAAUUGUAUGGAUUUACAAGCCAUAAAAAUGGCAUUGGCAAGGUAGAAAUAUGAAGAUGUGCCUAAACCCUCCUACCACCCUAUCGAUCCAUGGCUUGUACGUCCCGUCUCUCUGGCCGGCGUAGUGCCCGCCCGUCCGCUCAUUUCAUCGGUUGGCUUAGGCAUACAGAGUUCAUUCCUAUUCUAUGAUCGGACCAGACCGAGGGUUACUGCUGCAAGAUUGGCAGCACGUAGAGGGGGACCCGGCCGAUCCUCGACUUGUGCAUCCUGCCCCUCUGGCUGACUCAGCGCCCGCACGCUCGUUUCAUGGGUUGAGUUAGGCAUAUAUAGUUCAUUCCCAGUCUAAGAAUACGGAGUUCAUUCCCAGUGUAAGAUUAAACUAGACCGGGGGUUGCGGGUGCACAUGUUGGGCUCGGGCAUGUGUUGGUGCCGUAUUUUUUUUCACUUGGGGAACCAUCGUCGGAGAACCUGACCGGCGACAUUGGGGUUCCGGUGAUUGGGGGGCGGGGGAGGUGUGUGCACAUGAUGUGCGAUGGGUGCGGGUACUUGGCCCUUAUAUUGGCCCCCUAUCCCUCAUCAAACCUCAAGAACUCACACCCCCUUAAAGAGCAUUUGAGAUUUUAUAGGUUUGCUGCCAGUAGCCAUUAAAGUGUCUGAAAUGGGGACACUUUUUUGAAAUGGUCCCAAAAUCCUGUACACUUUGAGUUUUUAGCUGAAUUUUUUUAUGCAUGCCAAUGAAAAUACAAGGAUCACGUCUACCAAGUUUGGGGCCAAAACUCCUUCUGAAAAAAUUUUCAAAAAAUCUCGAACCGUAAAAAGUUUCAAAAAUCGUGAAAAAUAGAAAAUGAGUCGUCUUGCCAUGAAACUUCACAUGAAGGCUUAAGGGACCAUUGUAUGAAUUUACAAGCCAUAAAAAUGGCCUUGGAAUGGAAGAAAUAUGAAGAUGUGGCUAAACCCACAAACCACCCAUCGAUCCACGACUUGCGCAUCCCGUCUCUCUGGCUGACGUAGCGCCUGCACGCCUGCUCAUUUCGUCAGUUGGUUUAGGCAUACGGAGUUCAUUCCCAGUCUAAGAUCGGAUAGGACCAUGAGUUAUGGGUGCACAUGCUGGGCUCGGGCAUGUGCUGGUGUCGUAUUUUUUUUUGCCUGAGACACCAUCGUCGGAGCAUCGCCGGAGAACCUGACCGGCGGCAUUGGGGUUCCGGUGAUUGGGGGGCAGGGGAGGUGUGUGCACAUGAUGUGCGAUGGGUGCGGGUACUUGGCCUUUAUAUUGGCCCCCUAUCCCUCAUCAAACCUCAAGAACUCACACCCCCUUAAAGAGCAUUUGAGAUUUUACAGGCUUGCUGCCAGUAGCCAUUAAAGUGUCUGAAAUGGGGACACUUUUUGGCAAGUGGAAAGCAAAGGGGGAUCGAGAGCCACUAGCAUGCUACCUAUGUGGAGGGAGCCACAUAGCACGUAAUUGCCCGUAGAAGGGCAAGCUGGCUACUGUAGACAAGGAGUCUAACGAGGAGCCAGAGUCAGAGGUAGCAAAGCUUGGGUCAUUGGUGCUCAAUGCUGUCAAGAGUAAGGGGAGCCACAAGCCAAAGGGCUGGAUGUUUACGGAUCUGAUGGUUGCGGAUCUGAUGGUUGUGGGUUAGAAGGUGAGUGCACUGGUGGACACAGGUGCCUCGCAUCUUUUUAUUUCAGGUGAUGGAGCCCGAAAGCUCAGACUAAAAGUGUAGAAAGGGACUGGUACCAUUAAAACGGUGAACUCUAAGGAAGUUUCAGCCAUUGGAGUAGCACGGGGAGUGGAGUUGCAGUUUGGAAACUGGAAAGGCAAGGAGACCAUUGAGGUAAUACCCUUUGACGACUAUGAGUUUGUGAUUGGGUUGGAUUUCUUUGUUCUGUUUAACACCCUUCUUGUGCUUUUUACCGGUUGUGUUUGCAUCUUGGAUGCAUGGUGCCAAUGCCUAGUGCCAUUGAGAAGAGGGUCUAGAGUUAGGUUGUGAGUGGUGUCAGCCAUCCAAUUUGCCAAGGCGGUAAGCAGAUAAGAAGACACCUUCUUGGUAGCCUUGAAAUAUGAUGAGCCAAGGGAAAAGGAGAUCGAGUCACCCUUGGAGGUGCUAAAGGUACUGAAGACCUUUAGUGAUGUGAUGCCCACAAAGCUGCCUAGCAAGCUACCACCUAAGAGAGAGGUGGACCACAAGAUCAAGCUGGUGUCCGAGGCCAAGCCACCAACUAGAGCCCCUUACCGAAUGUCUCCACCAGAGUUGGAGGAGUUAAGGAAGUAGCUCAAGGAGUUAGUUGAUGCUGGCUUCAUCAGGCCAUCGAAGGUACCCUAUGGUGCACCGAUUCUAUUCCAGUGCAAGCAUGAUGGGUCGUUGCAACUGUGCAUAGACUAUCGAGCCUUGAACAAGCUAACCAUCAAGAACAAGUACCCCAUCCCACUCAUUGCGGACUUAUUCGAUCAACUUGGGAGUGCAAGGUGGCUCACCAAGCUGGAUUUGAGGUCAGGCUACUAUCAAGUCAGGAUCAUGGAGGGAGAUGAGCCAAAGACAGCAUGUGUCACUCAGUAUGGUUCGUAUGAGUUCUUGGUGAUGCCUUUCAGACUCACGAAUGCCCUAGCAACAUUCUGCACCCUUAUGAAUAAGGUACUUCAGUCAUUCCUUGAUCGGUUUGUUGUGGUCUAUUUGUAUGACAUUGUGAUCUACAGCCAAACUUUGGAAGAGCAUGUAGACCACUUGAGAUAGGUGUUCGAGGUGUUGUGGGCACAUAAGCUAUUUGUCAAGAGGGAGAAGUGCUCAUUUGCCCAGCAGGAGAUCCCGUUCCUAGGCCACAUAGUGGGAAGUGGCAGGAUAUGCAUGGAUGAAGACAAGAUACAUGCCAUCCUAGAGUGGCAACCACCAGCCAAAGUCACUGAGUUGAGAUCGUUCCUUGGGCUGGUUAACUACUACAAACACUUCAUCAAAGGUCACUCAGCAAUAGCCAUGCCAUUGAUUGACUUGCUCAAGAAAGGGAGAACAUAGGAGUGGAGCGCAGGGUGCCAGGAAGCCUUUGACAGGUUAAAGCAGGCUGUGACCGAGGAGCCAGUCUUGGCCUUGCCAGACCAUGCCAAGCCGUAUGAGGUGCAUACAGAUGCAUCAAACUUUGCCAUAGGGGGCGUGUUGAUGCAGGAGGGACGUACAAGCCGUGGAUCGAUAGGGUGGUAGGUGGGUUUAGGCACAUCUUCAUAUUUCUACCAUGCGAGUGCCAUUUUUAUGGCUUUUAAAUUCAUACAAUGGUCCCUUAAGCCUUCACGUGAAGUUUCAUGGCAAGACGACUCAUUUUCUAUUUUUCACGAUUUUUGAAAGUUUUUACAGUUCGGGAUUUUUUUAAAAUUUUUUCAGAAGGAGUUUUAGCCCCAAACUUUGUAGAUGUGAUCCUUGUAUUUUUGGCAUGCACAAAAAAAUUCAGCUGCAAACUCGAAGUGAACAGGAUUUUGUGACCCUUUGAAAAAAGUGUCCCCAUUUCAGACACUUUAAUGGCUACUGGCAGCAAACCUAUAAAAUCUCAAAUGCUCUUUAAGGGGGUGUGAGUUCUCGAGAUUUGAUGAGGGAUAGGGGGCCAAUAUAAGGGCCAAGUACCAGCACCCAUCGCACAUCAUGUGCGUACAACCCCCAUCCCUCCAAUCGUCGGAACCCCAAUGCCGUCGGUCAGGUUCUCCAGCGAUGCUCCGACGAUGUUACCCCGAGCAAAAAAAAAAUACGGCACCAGCACAUGCUCGAGCCCAGCAUGUGCACCCGUAACCCUCAGUCUGGUCUGAUCUUACACUGGGAAUGAACUCCAUAUGCUUAGACUGGGAAUGAACUCCGUAUGCCUAAGUCAACCAACGAAACGAGCGUGCGGCCGCUCAGCCAGCCAUAGCCGCAGGAUGCGCAAGUAGGUGAUCGGUCGAGUCCCCCCUGCGUGCUACCAAUCCUGCUGCUGCAAACCUCGGUCUGGUCUGAUCUUAGACUGGGAAUGAACUUCGUAUGCCAAAGUCAACCGACGAAACGAGCGGGCGGGCGGGCACUACGCCGGCCAGAGAGGCGGGAUGCGCAAGUCAUGGAUCGAUAGGGGGGUAGGUGGGUUUAGGCACAUCUUCAUAUUUCUACCAUGCCAGUGCCAUUUUAAGGUUUUUAAAUUCAUACAAUGGUCCCUUAAGCCUUCAUAUGAAGUUUCACGGCAAGACGACUCGUUUUCUAUUUUUCACGAUUUUUGAAAGUUUUUACGGUUCGGGAUUUUUUUAAAAUUUUUUCAAAAGGAGUUUUGCCCCAAACUUGGUAAAUGUGAUCCUUGUAUUUUUGUUGGCAUGCACAAAAAAAUUCAGCUACAAACUCGAAGUGUACAGGAUUUUGUGACCAUUUGAAAAAAGUGUCCCCAUUUCAGACACUUCAAUGGCUACUGGCAGUAAACCUGUAAAAUCUCAAAUGCUCUUUAAGGGGGUGUGAGUUCUCGAGGUUUGAUGAGGGAUAGGGGGCCAACAUAAGGGCCAAGUACCAGCACCCAUCGCACAUCAUGUGCGCACACCCCUCCGCCCCCCAAUCGCCGGAACCCCAAUGCCGUCGGUUAAGUUCUCCGACGAUGCUCCGACGAUGGUGCACCGGGUGAAAAAAAAUACAACACCAGCACAUGCCCGAGCCCAACAUGUGCACCCGCAACCCUCGGUCCGAUCCGAUCUUACACUGGGAAUGAACUUCGUAUGCUUAGACUUGGAAUGAACUCCGUAUGCCUAAGUCAACCCAUGAAACGAGCGUGCGGGCGCUCAAUCGACCAGAGGGGCAGGAUGCACAAACUGGCCAGAGGGCCCCCCCAAUCAUCGGAACCCAGUGCCACCAAUCAGGUUCCCGACGAUGCUCCGACGAUGGUGCCUCAGGCAAAAAAAAAUGUGGCACCAGCACAUGCCCGAGCCCACCAUGUCCGCUCGCAACCCUCGGUCCGGUUCGAUCUUACACUGGGAAUGAACUCCGUAUGCCUAAGUCAACCCACAAAAUGAGCGUGCGGGCGCUUAGCCGGCCAGAGGGGCAGGAUGCACAAGCCAAGGAUCAAUCGAGUCCCCCCCUACGUGUUGCUGAUCCUAUUGCCACAACCUCGAUCCAGUCUGAUCUUAGACUAGAAAUGAAUUCCGUAUGCCUAAGGUAACCGACGAAACGAGCGGGCGGGCGGGCACUAUGUCGGCCAGAGAGGCGGGAUGCGUAAGCCAUGGAUCGAUAGGGUGGUAGGUGGGUUUAGGCACAUCUUCAUAUUUCUGCCAUGCCAAUGCCAUUUUUAUGGCUUGUAAAUUCAUACAAUGGUCCCUUAAGCCUUCAUGUGAAGUUUCAUGGCAAGACGACUCGUUUUCUAUUUUUCGUGAUUUUUGAAACUUUUUACGAUUCGGGAUUUGUUUAAAGUUUCUUCAGAAGAAGUUUUGGCCCCUAACUUGGUAGACGUGAUCCUUGUAUUUUUGUUGGCACGCAAAAAACAAUUCAGCUAAAAACUCGAAGUGUACAGGAUUUUGUGACCAUUUGAAAAAAGUGCCCCCAUUUCAGACACUUUAAUGGCUACUGGCAGCAAACCUGUAAAAUCUCAAAUGCUCUUUAAAGGGGUGUGAGUUCUCAAGGUUUGAUGAGGGAUAGGGGGCCAAUAUAAGGGCCAAGUACCAGCACCCAUCGUACAUCAUGUGCGCACACCCCCCGUCCCCCCAAUUGCCGGAACCCCAAUGCUACCGGUCAAGUUCUCUGAUGAUGCUCUGGCGAUGGUGCCCCGGGUGAAAAAAAAUGUGGCACUAGCACAUGCCCGAGCCCAGCAUGUGCACCCGCAACCCUCGGUCCGGUCUGAUGUUACACUGGGAAUGAAGUCCGUAUGCUUAGACUGGGAAUGAACUCCGCAUGCCUAAGUCAACCCACGAAACGAACGUACGGGCGCUCAGCCGGCCAGAGGGACAGGAUGCACAAGCUGGGGAUCGGUCAGGUCCCCCUGCAUGCUAUCGAUCCUGCUACCGUAACCCUCCGUCCAGUCUGAUCUUAGACUGGGAAUGAACUCCGUAUGCCUAAGCCAACCGACGAAACAAGCGGGUGGGCGGGCACUACGCUAGCCAGAGAGGUGACAUGCGCAAGCCGUGGAUCGAUAGGGUGGUAGGUGGGUUUAGGCACAUCUUUGUAUUUCUACCAUGCCAAUACCAUUUUUAUGGCCUGUAAAUUCAUACAAUGGUCCCUUAAGCCAUCAUGUGAAGUUUCAUGGCAAGACGACUCGUUUUCUAUUUUUCAUGAUUUUUGAAACUUUUUAAGGUUCGGGAUUUUUUUAAAAUUUUUUUACAAGGAGUUUUGGCCCCAAACUUGGUAUACACGAUCCUUGUAUUUUUUUUUGGCAUGCGCAAAAAAAUUCAGCUAAAAACUCGAAGUGUACAGGAUUUUGGGACCAUUUGAAAAAAGUGUCCCCAUUUCGAACACUUUAAUGGCUACUAGCAGCAAACCUGUAAAAUCUCAAAUGCUCUUUAAGGGGGUGUGAGUUCUCGAGGUUUGAUGAGGGAUAAGGGGCCAAUAUAAGGGCCAAGUACCUGCACCCAUCGCACAUCAUGUGUGCACACCCCCCCGGCCCCCAAUUGCUGGAACCCCAAUGCCGUCGGUCAGGUUCUCUGGUGAUGCUCCGAUGAUGGUGGCCCGGGUGAAAAACAAUAUGAAACCAGCACAUGCUCGAGCCUAGCAUGUGCACCCACAACCCUCGGUCUGAUCCGAUCUUACACUGGGAAUCAACUUCGUAUUCUUAGACUGGGAAUGAACUCCAUAUGCCUAAGUCAACCCAUGAAACUAGCGCGCGGGCGGUCAGCCGGCCAGAGGGGCAGGAUGCGCAAGCCGGGGAUCAGCCAGGUUGCCCCCUGCAUGCUGUUGAUCUUACUACCACAACCCUCAGUCCUGUCUGAUCUUAGACUGGGAAUAAACUCCAUAUGCCUAAGCCAACCGAUGAAACGAGCGGAUGGGCGGGCACUAUGCCGGCCAGAGAUUCGAGAUGCGUAAGCCAUGGAUCAAUAGGGUGGUAGGUGGGUUUAGGCACAUCUUCAUAUUUCUGCCAUGCCAAUGCCAUUUUUAUGGCUUGUAAAUUCAUACGAUGGUGCCUUAAGCCUUCAUGUGAAGUUUCAUGGCAAAGCGGCUCCUUUUCUAUUUUUCAUGAUUUUUGAAACUUUUUACGGUUUUGGAUUUUUUUAAAAUUUUCUCAGAAGGAUUUUUGGCCCCACACUUGGUAGACAUGAUCCUUGUAUUUUUUUUGUCAUGCACAAAAAAAUUCAGCUAAAAACUCGAAGUGUACAGGAUUUUGUGACCAUUUGAAAAAAGGGUCCCCAUUUUGGACACUUUCAUGGCUAUUGGCAGCAAACCUGUAAAAUCUCAAAUGCUUUUUAAGGGGGUGUGGGUUCUCGAGGUUUGAUGAGGGAUAGGGGGCCAAUAUAAGGGCCAAGUACCAGCACCCAUCGCACAACAUGCGCGCACAGCCCCCCCAACCCCCCAAUCACCGAAACCCCAAUGCCGCCGGUCAAGUUUUGCUGCGAUGCUUCGACGAUGGUGCCCCGGGCGAAAAAAAAAUGCGGCACCAGCACAUGCCUGUGCCCAGCAUGUGCACCCACAACCCUCGGUCUGGUCUGAUCUUAUACUGGGAAUAAACUCCAUAUGCUUAGACUGGGAAUGAACUUCGUAUGCCUAAGUCAACCCAUGAAACGAGCGUGCGGGCGCUCAGCCGACCAGAGGGGCAAGGUGCAUAAGUCGGGGAUCGGUCGGGUCCCCCCUGCAUGCUACCGAUCCUACUACCAUAACCCUUGGUCUAGUCUGAUCUUAGAUUGGGAAUGAACUCCGUAUGCCUAAGCCAACUGAUGAAACGAGUGGGCGGGCAGACACUACACUGGCCAGAGAGGCGGGAUGCGUAAUCCAUGAAUCGAUAGGGUCGUAGGUGGGUUUAGGCACAUCUUCAUAUUUUUGCCAUGCCAAUGCCAUUUUUAUGGCUUGUAAAUUCAUACAAUGGUCCCUUAAGCCUUCAUGUGAAGUUUCAUGGCAAGACGACUCGUUUUCUAUUUUUCAUGAUUUUUGAAAUAUUUUAUGGUUUAGGAUUUUUUUAAAAUUUUUUCAGAAGGAGUUUUGGCCCCAAACUUGGUAGACGUGAUGCUUGUAUUUUUUUUGGCAUGCACAAAAGAAUUCAGCUAAAAACUCAAAGUGUUGUCCCCAUUUCAGACACUUUAAUGGCUACUGGCAGUAAACCUGUAAAAUCUCAAAUGCUCUUUAAGGGGGUGUGAGUUCUUAAGGUUUGAUGAGGGAUAGGGGGUCAAUAUAAGGGCCAAGUACAAGUACCCAUCACACAUCAUGUGCGCAUACCCCCCGCCCCCCUAAUCGUCGAAACCCCAAUGCCGUCGAUCAGGUUCUCCGACGAUGGUGCCCCAGGCGAAAAAAAAUACGACACCAGCACAUGCCGUAGCCUAGCAUGUGAACCCGUAACCCUUGGUCCGGUCUGAUCUUACAUGAAAUUUUUUAAAAUUUUUUCAGAAGGAGUUUUGACCCCAAACUUGGUAGACGUGAUCCUUGUAUUUUUGUUGGCGUGCAUAAAAAAAUUCAGCUAAAAACUCGAAGUGUACAGGAUUUUGUGACCAUUUGAAAAAAGUGUCCCCAUUUCAGACACUUUAAUGACUACUGGUAGCAAACCUGUAAAAUCUCAAAUGCUCUUUAAGGGGGUGUGAGUUCUAGAGGUUUGAUGAGGGAUAGGGGGCCAAUAUAAGGGCCAAACACCAGCACCCAUCGCACAUCAUGUGCGCACACCACCCCCCCGCCCCCCCAAUCGCCAGAACCCCAAUGCCACCGGUCAGGUUAUCCAGUGAUGCUUCGGUGAUGGUGCCUCGGGCGAAAAAAAAAUGUGGCACCAGCACAUGCCCAAGCCUAGCGUGUGCACCCGCAACCCUCGGUCCAGUCUGAUCUUCCACUGGGAAUGAACUCUGUAUGCUUAGACUGGGAAUGAACUCCGAAUGCUUAGACUGGGAAUGAACUUCGUAUGCCUAAGUCAACCCACAAAACGAGUGUGCGGGCGUUCAGCCGGCCAGAAGGGCAGGAUGUGCAAGCUGGGUGUCACGGACUAAGCUUUUUGUCAACAAGCAAUAGAUCGUACGACACUUCAAUGGGCACUCCCAACCAAGUCAACCUUUAAUAGAUCGAUAUCUGAACAAAUAACCAUAAGCCCUGGUUAGUCCCAAGCAUUCACAAUAAGACACAAUAUAUCGAGAUCAGUCUCAAGCACACACACAAAAGGCAUAUUCGCAUCGAGAGAAAGAAAAACACAUCGAGGCAACAAUCGAGACAUUCAAUCGGGGUAAGUUUUAUUAUAAACAGGAAUCAUACAUCGGGACCUCCCACCAUCACCAGGGCCAGGGGGCAACCCUUGGUGGGUGGCCUAAGCUCGCAUAGCAACCGAUGAGACAGCCCAACACUACACUAUCGGCUCACCCUCCUUAAAGAGCCUUAGAGAUUUUAGAGCUAUGCUACCAGUAACCAUUACAAUGUUUGAAAUGGGGACACUUUUCCUAGCACAAGGGAUCUACCUGGCCAUGGCCCUAUACAUGGGUGGCUCAUGGUAACCUAAGUCCUAGUGAUGGCCCUAUACAAGGUUGGCUCAUGACAUCCUCCCCCCACCUAUUCUAUCAACGUUUUCGUCGACUUGCUGGCUUGAAAUUCUUUGAUCUUCCUUUGAAAUCUCUGGAGGUCGUGUUCUCUCUCCCAGCUGGUUUCUUCUAGUCCUAAUCCCUCCCACUUCACUAAGUACUCCCAUACUAGUCUUCAAGAUAUCUUGGUUUCCCUAUCAGCUAAGAUCUCUUCGACUCGACGCUCUGAGGGUGGCUUCAUGGUGACGGUGGCUCUGGUUGGCUCCCUUCAGCUAGCAUCUGUAGGAUUUGCAUGGAAAGGUUUCAGGUUGCUCACAUGAAAUACUGGGUGCACCUUCAUCCAUUUUGGUGGGUCGAUUUUGUAAGAAGCAUUCCUCACCUUAGAAAUGACCCUUUCUAGACCUUCAUAUUUGUGCACCAGUCUAUGAUCUCUCUUUCUCAAGAACUUGGUUUGUUUAAGAACUAGUCGAACAAGAACCAAAUCACCAACUUGAAAAUGUUGAGCUCUUUGACCCUUGUCUACCCAUUUCUUCAUCCUUUUUGAUGCUUUCUCCAGGUAGGCUUACGCAAUCUCUGUGUUUUGCUUCCACUCUUUACUGAGAUUAAAGGCUCUUGAAUUUUUUCCUCCAUAUUGUUCCAAGGAAGUGUGGGGUAACCUUGGUAAUUGUCCGAUGACCACCUCAAAUGGGCUCUUAUUGGUGGAAGAGCUUUUGUUGGAAUUAAAGCAAAGUUGAGCCACGUCCAAUAAUGAAGGCCAGUCUUUUUGAUUGGCUUGAACAAAAUGCCUCAAGUAUUCCUCUAAUAAUCCGUUGAACCAUUUCGUUUGACCAUCGGUUUGAGGGUGAUAGCUUGAGGAGAUGUUGAGUUGGGACCCCAAUAUCUUGAAAAGUGCUCUCCAGAAGGACCCCGUGAAUCUCAGAUCUUGAUCGCUGAUAAUGUUUUGAGGGAGGCCCUAGUAUUUGACCACAUGUUUGAACAAUAGUCGAGCUGUGUCUUCCACAGUGCAAUACUUGUGAGUGGGAAUGAAUGUGGCAUACUUAGAGAACCGGUCAAUCACCACCAAAAUAGCUCCAAGGUCACCAACCUUGGGUAGGCUCAAAAUGAAAUCGAGGGAGAUGCUUUCCCACGGUCUGGUGGGUACUAGUAGUGGUUCAAGCAUGCCUGUAGAUUUCUUCCUUUCAACCUUGUCUUGUUGGCAAAUAAGGCAAGUCUUCGUAUAGUCCAUCACAUCUUGUCGCAUGUGAGGCCAAUAGUAUCCCUGUUUCAAUAACGCCAAAGUGCAUUGCCAGCCCGGGUGUCCCGCCCAUGGUGUGUCAUGACAUUCCCUCAUUAGCAUUUGUCUCAGACCUUCUACUCUUGGCACAAACACUCGAGGCCCUUUAGUCCAUUAGACCCCAUUUUCUUGCCAGAAGUACUUGGACUUCCCUUCUUCCACUAGCUUCAGGAUGGCACAAGCUUGCGGGUCCUUCCCUAAGUGAUCUCCAAUCAACUUGUGAAUGUCUGUAGUGGCUCUGCUAGUCGCCAUUGGGGCAAUUCUUCUAAGGGUCGCUAAAUCUGCUCGUCUGCUCAAUGCAUCGGCCACUUGAUUGGUCUUUCCAGCGAUGUGCUCAAAACAAAAGUUAAAUUUUGCUAAAAAUUCCUGCCACCUAGCUUGUUUUGCCGUAAGCCUUGGUUGGGUGAGAAAAUGGCUAACAGCCGUAUUAUCUGUCUUCAUGACAAAGUGUGAACCCAACAAGUAAUGUCACCAAGCCCUCAAAUAGUGAACCACCACCAGGAGUUCUUUUCCUGGGCCGUAUAUUUCUUUUCAGCUUCACUUAGCUUCCUACUUUCAAAUGCUACCGGGUGAUGUUGUUGCAAAAGUACUCCUCCAAUAGCAAAAUCAAAUGCAUCCAUUUGAACUUCGAAGGGCUUUUCAAUAUUAGGGAGAGCUAAGAUGGGAUCCUUCAUAAUAGCAUCCUUCAAUCCCUCAAAGGUCUCUUGGCAUUCACUCAUUCAACACCAUUUACGCUCCUUCUUCAAUAGCUUCGUGAGGGCCGUGGUCUUGCGAGAGUACCCUUCCAUAAACCUUCUAUAAUAAUUGGCUAGUCCCAAAAAUGAGCGGAGUUCACUAACAUUCUUCGGUGUUGUCCACUCCUUGAUGGCCCUAACCUUUUUCAUGUCCAUUCGAAUGUGGCCACGUUCGAUAAUGUGACCAAGAAAAUGGAUUUGGGUCUGAGCAAAUAUACACUUCUCCCUUUUUAUGUAUAACUGGUGGUCCUAUAAUCUUUGAAGUACCUGGUGCAGGUGCUCUUGAUGUUCUUCCAAAGUGGAGCUAAAUACUGCUAUAUCGUCUAAAUAGAUGACUACAAAUUUGUCUAGGUAGUCAUGGAACAUCUGAUUCAUUAAUGUACAAAAUGUGGCAGGAGCAUUGGUCAGUCCAAAGGGCAUAACAAGAAAUUCAAAUGCACCAUACCGUGUCACACAAGUGGUCUUUGGCUCAUCUCCCUCAGUGAUUCUGACCUGAUGGUAGCUAGAUCUCAGGUCUAAUUUGGAGAAGUACUUGGCCCGACUCAAUUGAUCAAACAAGUCUACUAUAAGGGGAAUGGGAUAUUUGUUUCUUACGGUGACUUUGUUCAGGGCCCUGUAGUCAACAUAUAAUUGCAAACUUCCAUCAUGCUUCUUUUGAAAUAGCACUGGUGCUCCAAAAAGAGCCUUUAAUGGUCUGAUGAACCCGGCUUGUAGCAGCUCAUCUAACUACUUUCUUAGUUUGACCAACUCUACCGGGGCCAUGCGGUAGGGAGCUCUAGCAGGGGGUUUUGCUCCUGGGAGGAGCUCAAUUUCAUGGUCCACUGCUCAUCGAGGGGGUAAAACCUUAGGCAACAUCUCUGGCAUCACCUCUUCGAAUUCUUCCAACACUUUUUCCACACCAUCAGGUAUUGGUUCUACUUUUGACCCUUCUUUGUAGAUCAGCACCGCCACAAAGGAAGGUUCCCCUUUCUUUACCCCUUUCUUGAACUGUAAAACAGAAAUCAUUUUCUUCCCACUCUUUGGUAAGAUGUUGGCUGGCACCACACAUGGGUGUUCCCCUAAGAACAACAAGCAGCUAGCGACGGGAAUAGGGAUGACCUGAGCCAACAUCAUGAAGUCCAAUAUGAGAAAACAUCAAAGUCAUCCAUGGGGGAAACUGUAAAGUCUACCUUCCCUUCCCAUGGCCCCAAUCGGGUUGUCACACUCUUGGAGCUUCCACUGAUCACAAAGGCUGGUGAAUUGACUACCUUCAUUCAUCCACAGUCUUUACUAAUCUGAAGACCACACCUUUUUGCUUCUUCUGGUGUGAUGAAAGUGUCGGUUGUACCCGUAUCCACCAUGGCCUUGAUGGCUUUCUCAUUGAUCGUCAAGUUCACAUACAUCAAGCCUCUACUCUACUCUUUCUUUAUAGUGUUCAAAUGGGUGCGGAGGGCAUUGAGGAACCUUAUUGAACCCAUCCUAGCUGGCUCUUCUUCAUUUUCUUCAAUGCUCUCUGGCACUUUUACAGACUCUUGAGACGAGGUCCUUAAGGCAUUAAGGGCUCCCCUGUGCAGGCAUUAAGGGCUCCCCUGUGGAAGCAUUCAGCCACCCGAUGCGACCCCUUGUAAAGAAAGCAAGCAACGGUUGCCUAGGCUUAAAAAUCCCUGCAUUGCUUGUCUUGGGUUGGGUGCUAUCUCGACCAAAGGACCUCCUGUUUGAUCCCCCACUGAAGGGCCGGUCCAACCUAGUCAUUUUUCCCCCACUCCCAAAGUUAAAGCUACUACCAACUGAUGGAGGAUUUUUCUGUUUUGAGGAGCCAUCAUUGUAAUCAUGAAGAUGUUCAGCUGUAACCAUGGCUAUGGCCACGUCUUGCACUUUUUGCCUUUGUAGUUCUGUCCUCGCCCAAGGCUUGAGGCCCUCAAGAAAAUAGAACAUCUUAUCCUUUUCGGACAUGUCCCGAAUAUCCAAUAUCAAGGUAGAAAAGCUCCUUACAAACUCUCGCACCAUUCCUAUUUGCACCAACUCUCGAAGUCUCCUUCGAGCCAUAUACUCCACAUUCUCAGGGAAAAAUUGGUUUUUCAAUUCUCGCUUCAGAUCCAUCCAAGUCUUAAUUGGGCACUUGUCAUCGACAAACUUGGAGCACCACCACAGCUUGGCAUCCCCUGUGAGGUACAUCGAUGCCAUUGCCACCUUUUCUUCCUCUAAAUUUAUGUGUACAGCUCAAAAGUACUGCUCCAUGUCAAACAAGAAAUUUUCAAGUUCCUUAGCAUCCCUUGCCCCUUCAUAGUAUCGAGGCUCCAGCACUUUAGGCCUUUUUCCCCUUUCCAUUAAGCUCGAACCCGAUCUGGCCACAGCCAUUUGUAGAAUGGUCACCUGUGCUCUGACCUCCUCAAACUCCUUUUGAAGAAUGUUCAAGGUGUCUCUAGCCUCUUCGCUCACGUUGUGGAGAGUAUUAGACAACUCUCGCUGGGUUGUCUUGAUCUCCCUCACUCGGUCUUUAGUCGCCAUAUGAAUUUUCAUUGUGGCCACCACGGCCUCAAGUUCUUCAAUUAUCUGUUGAUGAUUCGGUCCACCAUUUGUGGCCAUCUCAUCCAUUUUUCUAGCACUUUUCAACCGUGCUCUGAUACCACGUGUCAUGGACUAAGCUUUCUCUCAACAAGUAAUAGAUCGUGCGGCACUUGAAUGGGUGCUCCCAACCAAGUCAGCCUUUAAUAGAUCGAUAUCUGAACAAAUAACCAUAAGCCCUAGUUAGUCCCAAGCAUUCACAAUAAGACACAAUAUAUCGAGAUCAAUCUCAAGCACACACACAAGAAGGCAUAUUCGCAUCGAGAAAAAGAAAAACACAUCGAGGCAACAAUCGAGACAUUCAAUCGAGGUGAGUUUUAUUAUAAACGGGAAUCAUACAUCGGGACCUCCCACCAUCACCAGGGCCAGGGGGCAGCCCUUGGUGGGUGGCCUAAGCUCGCAUAGCAAUCGGUGAGGUAGCCCAACACUACGCUGCUAGCUCACCACCCCUAAAGAGCCUUAGAGAUUUUAGAGCUAUGCUACCAGUAACCAUUACAAUGUUUCAAAUGGGUAAAUUUUCCUAGCACAACGGAUCUACCCGGCCAUGGCCCUAUACAUGGGUGGCUCAUGGCAACCAAAGUCCUGGUCAUGGCUCUAUACAAGGUUGGCUCAUUACACCGGGGAUCGACCGGGUCCCCCCCUGCGUGCUACCGAUCCUGCUGUCACAACCCUCAGUCCAGUCCAAUCUUAGACUGGGAAUGAACUCCGUAUACCUAAGCCAACCGAUGAAACGAGCGGGCGGGCAGGCACUACGCCGGCCAGAGAGGCGGGAUGCGUAAGCUAUGGAUCGUUGGGGUGGUAGGUGGGUUUAGGCACAUCUUCAUACUUCUGCCAUGCCAAUGCUGUUUUUAUGGCUUCUAAAUUCAUACAAUGCUCCCUUAAGCCUUCAUGUGAAGUUUAAUGGCAAGACAACUCGUUUUCUAUUUUUCACGAUUUUCAAAACUUUUUACGGUUUCAGAUUUUUUUAAAAUUUUUUUAGAUGGAUUUUUGGCCCCAAACUUGGUAGAUGUGAUCCUUGUAUUUUUGUUGGCAUGCAAAAAAAAAUUCAGCUAAAAACUCGAAGUGUACAGGAUUAUGUGACCAUUUGAAAAAAGUGUCCCCAUUUUAGACACUUUAAUGGCUACUGGCAGCAAACCUGUAAAAUAUCAAAUGCUCUUUAAGGGGGUGUGAGUUCUUGAGGUUUGAUGAGGAAUAGGGGGCCAAUAUAAGGGCCAAGUACCAGCACCCAUCGCACAUCAUGUGCGCACACCCCCCCCGCCCCCCUAAUGGUCGAAACCCCAAUACCACCAGUCAGGUUCUCCGAUGAUGCUCCGACGAUGGUGCCUCGGGAGAAAAAAAAUGCGGCACCAGCACAUGCUCGAGCCUAGCAUGUGCACUCGCAACCCUCGAUCUGGUCCGAUCUUAUACUGGGAAUGAACUCCGUAUGCUUAGACUGGGAAUGAACUCUGUAUGCCUAAGUCAACCCACGAAACGAGUGUGCGGGCGCUCAGCCAGCCAAAGGGGCAGGAUGCACAACCCGAGGAUUGGCCGGGUCCCCCCUACAUGCUACCAAUCCUGCUACUACAACCCUUGGUCCAGUCCGAUCUUAGACUGGGAAUGAACUCCAUAUGCCUAAGCCAAUCGAUGAAACGAACGGGCGGUCGGGCACUACGUCGGCCAGAUCUCCUCCCCCAUGGAGUCUAGCGAUGCAAUGUGAGUCUCUACUUCCUUAAGCUUCUCCCUCAUGUCGCCUACGACCACCUCCACCUUGGCCACCCUACCAUCCAUGGUAGACCAGAUAUCUCUAGAACUGGCUUUCUUGCCUCUUCCCCGGCCAUGCUCCUGGGCCUCUGGUUGUUGGCUAGCAACGUCGCUUUAGGAAGCCAUCUGCUCAAUCAUGAUCUAACCUGCACAACACAAACACACAGAAUCGAACUUGCUCUGAUACCAACUGUCAUGGGCUCCGACCUUAGACUUAGAAUCCGUGCGGCCUUAGGCUUGGAAUCUCCUCUUUUGUGCCUAAGUCAGCCUAAAACACAAGCAUGCGGGCACUAGAACAAUGGGAAGGGCUGAUUACGCAAGUUAAAGAGAAACAAGAUAAGAAGACAAAAUUCUGGAAAUGCUCUUGUAUUCACUGAAACAGAAGUGUUUGAUGGUGUACAAAUGAGGGUGGAGAAGCCCUCUAUUUAUAGUUGAGGCUCUAGCUACAACUUAAUGGCAUAUCCCUAGAAUAAAGGCUAAAAUCAUGGGAUUACAAUCAAUCAGGAUGCUAACUCCUGAUUUUCAGGGUCAACCAAAUCUGCCAGGAUGCUCCUGUCUGUUUCCAGAAGCUUCCCUUGCAUGUCCAGCACCUUGGGCCCUUCUGGAUGUGGUGUGGGCAGCUUGUAUGCCAGGCCUUGGUCUCACGGGCUGGCUUGCAAGUCGAACGGGCGUUCUAAGCUCAUUUGCUAGGCUUGCACAUGAAAAAUACAAAACGAGUCGUCUUGCCAUGAAAAUUCACAUGAAGGCUUAAAGGACCAUUGUACGAAUUUACAAGCCAUAGAAAUGGCAUUGGCAUGGUAGAAAUAUGAAGAUGUGCCUAAACCCACCUACCACCCUAUCGAUCCACGGCUUGCGCAUCCCGCCUCUAUGGUCGGCGUAGUGCUCGCCCGCCCGCUCGUUUCAUUAGUUGGCUUAUGCAUAUGGAGUUCAUUCCCAGUCUAAGAUUGGAUCGGACCAAGGGUUGCAGCAGUUAGAUCAGCAGCACGUAGGGGGGGACCCAGUCGAUCCCUGGCUUGUGCAUCCAGCCCCUUGGUCGACUGAGCGCCCGCACGCUCGUUUCAUGGGUUGACUUAGGCAUACAGAGUUCAUUCCCAGUCUAGGCAUAUGGAGUUCAUUCCCAAUGAAAGAUUGAUCGAAUCGAGGGUUACGGGUGCAUAUGUUGGGCUCGGGCAUGUGCUAGUGCCACAUUUUUUUCGCCCGGGGCACCAUCGCCGGAGCAUCGUCGGAGAACCUGACCGACGGCAUUGGAGUUUUGGCGAUUGGAGGGGCGGGGGGGGGGGGGGUUGUGCGCACAUGAUGUACGAUGGGUGCUGGUACUUGGCCCUUAUAUUGGCCCCCUAUCCAUCAUCAAACCUCGAGAACUCAUACCCCCUUAAAGAGCAUUUGAGAUUUUACAGGUUUGCUGCCAGUAGCCAUUAAAAUGUUUGAAAUGGGGACACUUUUUUCAAAUGGUCACAAAAUCUUGUACACUUCGAGUUUUUAGCUGAAUUUUUUUGUUCAUGCCAACAAAAAUACAAGGAUCACUUCUACCAAGUUUGUGGCCAAAACUUCUUCUGAAAAAAUUUUAAAAAAAUCCCAAACCGUAAAAAGUUUCAAAAAUCGUGAAAAAUAGAAAACUGGUCGUCUUGCCUUGAAACUACACAUGAAGGCUUAAGGCACCAUUGUAUGAAUUUACCAGCAAUAAAAAUGGCAUUGGCAUGGCAAAAAUAUGAUGAUGUGCCUAAACCCACCUACCACCCUAUCGAUCCACGACUUGUGCAUCUCGUCUCUCUGGCUGGCGUAGUGCCCGCCUGCUCGUUUCGUCGGUUGGCUUAGGCAUAUCAUUCCCAGUGUAAGAUCAGACCAGACCGAGGGUUGUGGCAGUAGGAUUGCCAGCAUGCAGGGGGGGACCCGGCUGAUCCCCAGCUUGCGCAUGCUGCCCUCUGGCCGGCUGAGCACCCGUACGUUCGUUUUGUGGGUUGACUUAGGCAUACGGAGUUCAUUCCUAGUCUAAGCAUAUGGAGUUCAUUCCCAGUGUAAGAUCGGACCAGACCGAGGGUUGCGGGUGCACAUACUGGGCUCGAGCAUGUGCUGGUGCCCCAUUUUUUUUCUCCUACGGUGCCAUCGCCGAAGCAUCACCGGAGAACCUGACCGACAGCAUUGGGGUUUGACGAUAGGGGGCGGGGGGUGCGCGCACAUGGUGUGCGAUGGGUGCUGGUACUUGGCCCUUAUAUUGGCCCCCUAUCCCUCAUCAAACCUCGAGAACUCACACCCCCUUGAAGAGCAUUUGAGAUUUUACAGGUUUGCUGCAAGUAGCCAUUAAAGUGUGUGAAAUGGGGACUCUUUUUUCAAAUGGUCGUAAAAUCCUGUACACUUUGAGUUUUUAGCUGAAAUUUUUUGUGCAUGCCAACAAAAAUACAAGGAUCACGUCUACCAAGUUGGGGGCCAAAACUCCUUCUGAAAAAAUUUUAAAAAAAUCUUGAAUCGUAAAGAGUUUCAAAAAUUGUGAAAAAUACAAAACGAGUCGUCUUGCCAUGAAAAUUCACAUGAAGGCUUAAGGGACCAUUGUAUGAAUUUACAAGCCAUAGAAAUGGCAUUGGCAUGGUAGAAAUAUGAAAAUGUGCCUAAACCCACCUACCACCCUAUCGAUCCACAGCUUACGCAUCCCGCCUCUAUGGCCAGCGUAGUGCUCGCCCGCCCGCUCGUUUCGUCAGUUGGCUUAUGCAUAUGGAGUUCAUUCCCAGUCUAAGAUUGGAUCGGACCAAGGGUUGCAGCAGUUGGAUCAGCAGCACGUAGGGGGGGACCCGAUCGAUCUCCGACUUGUGCAUCCAGCCCCUCGGUUGGCUUUGGCAUACAAAGUUCAUUCCCAGACUAAGAUCGGACCGGACCGAGGGUUACGGUAGCAGGAUCAACAGCACGCAGGGGGGACUCGAUCGAUCCCCGGCUUGUGCAUCCUGCCCCUUUGGCCGGCUGAGCGUCCACACGCUCGUUUCGUGGGUUGACUUAGGCAUACGGAGUUCAUUCCCAGUCUAAGCAUACGGAGUUCAUUCCCAGUGUAAGAUCGGACCGGACCGAGGGUUGCGGGUGCUCAUGCUGGGCUCGAGCAUGUGCUGGUGCCACAUUUUUUUUUGCCCGGGGCACCAUCGCCGGAGCAUGUCGGAGAACCUGGCUGGCGGCAUUGGGGUUCCGAUGAUUGGGGCGGCCAGGGGGGUGUGCGCACAUGAUGUGCGAUGGGUGCUGGUACUUGGCCCUUAUAUUGGCCCCCUAUCCCUCAUCAAAUCUAGAUAACUCACACCCCCUUAAAGAGCAUUUAAGAUUUUACAGGUCUGCUGCCAGUAGCCAUGAGAGUGUCUGAAAUAGGGACACUUUUUUCAAAUGGUCACAAAAUCCUGUACACUUCGAGUUUUUAGCUGAAUUGUUUUGUGCAUGCCAACAAAAAUACAAGGAUGAUGUCUAAAAUACAAGGAUGACAUCUACCAAGUUUGGGGCCAAAACUCCUUCUGAAAUAAUUAAAAAAAAAUCCCGAACCGUAAGAAGUUUCAAAAAUCAUGAGAAAUAGAAAACGUGUCGUCUUGCCAUGAAACUUUACAUGAAGGCAUAAGAGACCAUUGUAUGAAAUUUACAAAGCCAUAAAGAAAUGGCAUUGGCAUGGUAUGAAAAUAUGAUAGAUGUGCCUAACCCCCCUACUACCGCCUGUCGAUCCACAGGCUUGUUCAUCCGCCUCUUUGGCCGACAUAGUGCCCGCCCGUGGCCGCUUGUUUCGUUCGGUUGGCUUAGGCAUACAGAGUUCAUUCCCAGUCUAAGAUCGGACUAGACUGAGGGUUGCUACAAUAGGAUUUGUUACAACAGGAUUGGGCUGACGAUUGUGGGUGCACAUGCUGGGCUCGGGCAUAUGCUGGUGCCGCAUUUUUUUUCACCUGGGGCUCCAUCAUCGGAGAACCUGACCGACGACACUAGGGUUCUGACGAUUGGUGGGGCGGGGGGCUGUUUGCACAUGAAGUGUGAUGGGUGCUGGUACUUGGCCCUUAUAUUGGCCCCCUAUCCCUCAUCAAACCUCGAGAACUCACACCCCCUUAAAGAGCAUUUGAGAUUUUACAGGUUUGCUGCCAGUAGCCAUUAAAGUGUCUAAAAUGGGGACACUUUUUUCAAAUGGUCACAAAAUCCUGUACACUUCGAGUUUUUAGCUGAAUUGUUUUGUGCAAGCCAAAAAAAAUAAAAGGAUUAUGCCUACCAAGUUUGGGGCGAAAACUCCUUCUGAAAAAAUUUUAAAAAAAUCUCGAACCGUAAAAAGUUUUAAAAAUCGUGAAAAAUAAAAAACGAGUCGUCUUGCCAUGGAACUUUACAUGAAGGCUUAAGGGACCAUUGUAUGAAUUUACAAGCCAUAAAAAUGGCAUUGGCAUGGCAAAAAUAUGAAGAUGUGCCUAAACCCACCAACCACCCUAUCGAUCCACGGCUUGCGCAUCCACGUCUUUGGCCGACGUAGUGCCCGCCCGCCCGUUCGUUUCAUCGAUUAGCUUAGGCAUACGGAGUUCAUUCCCAGUCUAAGAUUGGACUAGAUCGAGGGUUGCGAUAGUAGGAUUGGCAGCAGCAGGGGGGACCCGGUCGAUCCCCGGCUUGUGCAUCCUACCCCUAUGGCCAUCUGAGCGCCCGUAUGCUCGUUUCAUGGGUUAACUUCAGCAUACGGAGUUCAUUCCCAGUCUACGCAUACGAAGUUCAUUCCCAGUGUAAGAUCAGACUGGACCGAGGGUUACGGGUGGACAUGUUGGGCUCGGGCAUGAGGUGGUGCCACAUUUUUUUCACCCAGGGCACCAUCACUGGAACAUCACCGGAGAACCUGACCGGCGGCAUUGGGGUUCUGGCGAUUGGGGCGGCGGGGGGCUGUGCGCACAUUAUGCGCAAUGGGUGCUGGUACUUGGCCCUUAUAUUGGCCCCCUAUCCCUCAUCAAACCUUGAGAACUCACACCCCCUUAAAGAGCAUUUGAGAUUUUAAAGGUUUGUUGCCAGUAGCCAUUCGAGUUUUUAGCUGAAUUGUUUUGUGCAUGUGAAAAAAAAUACAAGGAUCACGUCUACCAAUUUUGGGGCCAAAACUCCUUUGAAAAAAGUUAUUAACAAAAACUCUGAACCGAUUCAAAAAGUUUUGAAAAUCGUGAAAAAUAGAAAACGAGUUGGUAUUGCCAAUGAAACUUCACGUGAAGGCUUACAGGGACCAUUGUAUGAAUUCUAUAAAGUCCAUAAAAAAUGGGCCAUUGGCAUGGCAAGAAAUAUGAAGAUGUGCCUAAAACCCACCUACCACUCUAUUGACCACGGCUUCGUAAUCCGGCCUCUCUGGCCGACAGUAGUGUCCGCCUGCUCGGUCUCGUUUCAUCAGUUGGCUUAGGCAUACGGAGUUCAUUCCCAGUCUAAGAUCGGAUCGGACCGAGGGUUGCGGCAGCAAGAUCGACAGCACGCAAGGGGGGACCUGACCGAUCCCCGACUUGGGCAUCCUGUCGCUCUGGUCGACUGAGCUCUCGCACACUCGUUUCGUGGGUUGACUUAGGCAUACGGAGUUCAUUCCCAGUCUAGGCAUACAGAGUUGAUUCCCAGUGUAAGAUCGGACUGGACCGAGGGUUGCAGGUGCACAUGCUAGGCUCGGGCAUGUGCUGGUGCUGUAUUUUUUUUCGUUUGAGGCACCAUCACCGGAGCAUCGUCGAAAAACCUGACCGGCGGCUUUGGGGGUUCCGACGAUUGAAGGGGGCGGGGGGUGUGCGCACAUGAUGUGUGUUGACAUCAAUUUUGUCCGUAAAAAUAAAAAUAAUAAUAUUAUACGAAAUACAAAAAAAAUAAAUACCAAAAAAUAAUACAAAAAAAUAGCAAAAAAAAAAAUAAUAAUAAUAGAGGAUGGCAUUGGUGCCAUCCUCGGCACCACUGCCACUAGGCCCACCACCCAUCACAUACCCUGUUUAUCCUACCCUACUACCAAACAAUACAGAAGAAAUAAAGAGGCGGGCUCAUGUUUACAUCCCGUGAUCGAGCCCCAUGCCCUUCCCUCCAAAUACGUAUGGUUGGAGCUCUAUAAAUAGAGCUCAUAGCGAAGCCAAAACGGACAGAGAAGAAGGAGGGGGAGAUUUUAUCAAAAAAAAAACUACAAAAAAAAACAGAAACCACAGUCCUCCCCGCAAUGAGGAACCCAACGCCAAAGCUACCUGUAAAAGUAAGAAAACAGAUCAGUCUUGCUUUAACAAAACAAAAAAAAAAUUGAAAACAGAAACUUUGAGCCCCAAUCUACGCUGAUCAGGGCUAUUUUCGACAAAAAGAGGUCAGAUCUUGAAAGAGCACGUUGAAGAGCGCUUCUGGAAGUAUUUCGGCAUUUUUCAGUCACCAGUGACCACCGCCGAUGGUGACCUAGGCGGCAGCCAGAACGGUGGCCCGACGACCGAACGGUGGACGGCUAGACCUCUCCCCCGGCUCUCCUUCUCCCUCUCUCCCUUUUUUUUCUGAAACAGAAACCAAAUGAACCAAAAAAAAUCUUCGGCUAUAUAUAGUAAAGCGAAAACUCAAAACGACGUCGUUUAGGGAAAGACCCAAAACGACGCCGUUUUAACCAAAGAGGAUCCAUGCGUGGAUUCGGAUCUGACUCGAGAUCCGUGCAAACUGACCCAUCAACCCGUUUCAUCCAACCUUGAACCGGUCUGAGUCGGUCCGAACCACUGUACCAUUCGAACCACCUAUCGAAUAGUAGAAUCGGUCAGACCGGUCCAGACCAGCGCUGAUCGAACCGAUGAUCGGUCUGGUUCAGGUAAAAAAAUUUUUUUUUAAUUUUCUAAUUUUUUUAUAUUAUUAUUUUUGUUAUUUUAAGUAUAUUUUUAUAUUUAUGCAUGAUAAAUUUCUAAAUUUGUUAGAAUAAAUGUUUAAUUGUUUUAAUAAUAAUAAAAUUGAAAACAAAUAAUAGUUAAAAAUAUAUUAAAAAUGUUCAAAAAAAUAUUUAUUAUUAUUAUUAUUAUUUUCCCUCCCUAGAUGUUGGAGGGAAUAAAAAAUAUUUUUCUAAAAGAUAAUUCCGUCUAGAUGUUGGGGAAUUAUUAUGAAAAAUUUUCAUAAAAAAACACAUAAGAAAUUUUUAAUUAGUUUUGAAAAAUUAUAAAAAAUUAAACUUGCUCCGAAAGUCCGCCUAGAUGAUGGGGAUUUUUAGAGAUGUUCGUGUUUUACUUAAAUCUUAAACACUAAUUUUUAAUUUUCAAAAUCCUAAGUUUUUAAAACCCCUAAAAAUCCAAAAUCCCCUAAAAUUCAAAACCUCUUAAAAUCCAAAGUCCUAAAAAUCCUAAAGACAAGUGUGAAAAUUCUAUUUGAAGCAAUUUGUUCCCGAAUGCCGCUUAGAUGAUGGGGUAUUUAGAAAAUUUUACUUCGUUAAGUCUUUUCACACGAUUUCUUAAUUUGCAUCAACAAUAAGAUUAAUAAAUAAAAAGUAUAAUAGUAAAUUGGGAGCUUAAAUAUAAACAGUCGCACCUAAGCUCUGCCUAGAUGUUGGAGAGUUAGGGUGGUCUUAUUAUACUUAAGAAUCCAACUUUUAAAUUACAUUUCAUUUUACAUAACAUUCAUUGACAUACACAUAUUAGCAUGUUAUUAUUAGUAUUUAUUUGUACUAUUCUGUCUUUAAUUUUAUUUGUACUACUUUUUAAAAAAUUAUGAUAUUAUAAAAUAAAAUAAAAUAACAUUCCGAAAGAAAUAAUUCUUGGUACUCUGCCUAGACGUUGGAGAGUCACUAACAAUUAUUUUCUAUAAAGAUUGUUAUUUUAUUUUAUGGAUUAUUGUGUUAAAUCUUAAGUAAAAAGAGUUAUUUUAAAUUCUGCCUAGAUGUUGGAGAAUUUUAAGAUAAUUCUUUAACUUAAAGAUUUUCUCAAUAUUUCUAAAUAAAUAUUUUAGCAAAAUUUUAUUCAAGUGAAGGGAAUUAGUGUUAAAUUUCAAAUUAAAAUCAUUUUUAUCCAACACCGAAAAUAGCGCGUAAUUAAAUGGUACCAAUUUAUGGGUGUUGUGGGGGUGCUAAUCCUUCCCAUACGUAACCGACUGCCGGACCCAACCUGGUUUUUCAUAGACUGAAAUUAUCUUUUUGAUAAACUUUAAAUCCGUUUUAUAGUUUUAUUAAAAAGAUAAACUUUUGGGUGGCCAAUCACACCCUAACAAAGAUUGGUGGCGACUCCACUUUUUAUUUAUUUUUCUCUAUUUUAAAACAUCACUUUUACGUCUGGCGGUCCCAAAACCGUUACGACAGCUUGGCGACUCCACUGGGGAUUUUUAGAGUCAGGCCAAAUUUUAGUUAUACGCUAUUAAUAACUGUUGGAUUUAAUUAGUUUUAUUUGAUAUUUAAUUUAAUUCUCUUUAUUUUAAUUUUUCAAAAUAUACAUACAAGUUAAUAAAUAAAAUAAAUUGCUUGUUAUCUAUUACUUUAUUUUGAUUUUGUGUUUAUGAUUUAUUUAUGUUAUUUUGAUUAAUACAUUACUUUGCACACACUUUGCAUAUUUAUUCGCAUGCAUGAGCUCUAAACCCGGGCUUUUUCCCUUUUAGGAGGAAGUGAAGUAGCUACGCUCUCGUGAGGUGAUAACCUCCACAUUUGCUAGUGAAACACUUCCACUCAGACUGAACCCUUUCCGUUAGUAACCUGUAAUGGGUGAGGAUCGGGGAACCUUACUAGUCUAUCCAGACAACGAUGUGAGGAAUAGUUUGGGAACCGUUAGACGCAUAAACCUUAACCCAGCAUAUCGUAACCCAUAUGAAUCUUGCCGAUCUUUUUAUAGAAAUAACCAAAAGAAAAGCAUUUUCUUAAAAAAUAUAUAUAUAUAUAAAUUUCCUCUUUACAUGUAGUUCAUUCAUUUGGUAAUUGUUCAAAUUUUGCAAUUUCAUAAAAUAUUUUAGAAUAAAGUGAUUUUUUUUAAAGCAUUAUCCAACAAGCCAAAAAAACAAAAAAAAAGUGGUUUUCAAAAAAAUUAAAGAUUUUUCUUAAAUUCUUUGUUUAUUGGCCCAAUAAAAAUAUCAAUUUUCAUGUCCUAGUUAUUUUGUUUUUCCCUCUAAAUAAGUCAGCUGGCUUCAAACAACCUCCACAAACUAUCCCAAGUCCAAACCCAUACCUAAAUCCUCUUUAUGACCAUUUUCAACCUCCUUUCCAAGUACCUAAGAUUAGACCCCCAAUUUUCAUGCAACCACCAAGAAUUUCACACUUGAACCCAUAUCCACCAUCUCAUAUUUCACAAUCGCCUGUUCAGUAUGCUAUACCAUCAUUACUUUUUGAACCCAAUCUUCGACCCAAAGUUUCUCAAUUCACCUCAAGACCAACUAAACUAUCAUCUUUUCAGCAAAGCAAACCAACUGUAGGAUAGAAAAACUUCGGUAAGACCAAAGAAAAAAUCUUUGUUGAUCUGAUACCCAUGUCCUACGCAGAGUUGUACCCAUUACUUCUAGAAAAUUAUCUCAUUGCCCCUAUCCCUGCUGAACCUCGCAAACCACCUUUCCCCGAAUGCUAUGACCCCAAUGCUUGAUGUGAAUACCAUUUUGGCAUCAUUGGCCAUUCUUUGGAAAAUUGCACAGCUUUGAAACAUAGGGUGCAAGGACUAAUGAAAGCUGGAUAUCUAAGUUUUGAUACCAAGAUGAAGCUAGUUAUUCACAACAACCCUUCUUUGAUCCAUGUCAAAAUGGUAGGCAGUGCUACCGACAACAGUAGGGUUGGUCAGGAUGAUGAAUAAAAAGCUUUUUAAGCAAAGAGUUAUCUUUCCUAGUAAUCAUAGUCAACUAUUUUUUAGGAGAAACAAAGGGAAGUGGGAGUAGGUUUUGGCACUUUUUGGCCCCCAGCCCUAGAAUAGUUUCAUGAUGUGUAAACUUGAUGCUUUUAGAAAUGAAUGGAAACUUCUUUUAACCUAGAUUUUCUAUGAAUUGAUGCAUCUGUUUAUUUUAUUGUCACGCCUAAAAAGAGUAUAAGAAAGAAUGAUGGUUGCAAGUAUGUUUUCACCAAACUUUUGAGAUAGAAAAGAUAUAUCUAGAUGACCCAUUUUGAAUAUAGGAUGGAAUUCAAGUUUCCCUCGACCAAACAACAAAUUUAACUUGCAUAUCAUGCAUCAUUUUGUUUGAAUUCAUUGCUUUUCAUGCCAGCUAAGGACAAGGAAUGAUAAUUGUAAAUAUACUUUCGUCAAACCUUCGAAGCAAUUUUUUUUUAUAUACAAUAGAAUUCAUGCCAUGCAUUUCUGACUUCUGAUGAUUAAUAAAAGAUUCAAGGAUAGCUAUCUUAGGAAACGAGGUCAGUUGAGUCUGCACACUUAUAGCACUCGAGCUAGUACCAUAAUCAUGGAAAAUAAAGGUGCCAGUCGAAUGGAUAGAGUAGAAAAAACCCAAGGAGAGAUCGGUGAAAUAGUUACAGGAAUGCAACAAAACAUGAAUAGACAACUGACAGAAUUAAAACAGAUGAUAGUGGAAUUGACAAAAGGAAAAGAAGUUGUUGAGACGUACAGGACAAGGGAGGAAACAGCUAUCGAGACACCAUUGUAUCUAUCUGGGUUCACAUAUGUUCAAGAUCCCCAUGUGUCACAAACAUUCAGACAAAUAUCAAUCCUGGGCAUACUCCUCACGACUUCACUACUGUGCCUAAUGUGGAUGAUCAUAAAAAAUUGAAGAAAUUGAAGAGGGUGCCAGAUCCAUCAGAAGAUAUAGUGAUGAAAGAUAAGUAUGAUUUGUUGGAAGAGAGAUUGAAAGCAAUUGAAAGUCAUGAUGUCUACGAGAAUGUUGACGCCAAUGAGCUUAGUCUAGUGCCUAAUCUCAUUAUUCCAUCAAAAUUCAAAGCCCCGAAUUUUGAAAAGUAUAAUGAAACUGGAUGUCCUAAAAUACAUUUGGCUCAAUACUGUCACAAAAUGGUUGGGUAUGCUGGUGAUGAAAAGCUACUUAUUCAUGUCUUUCAAGAAAGUUUGACUGGGACAGCAGCUAAUUGGUAUCAUAGUUUGAAAAGCAGUCAAAUUCAUACUUGGAGAGAUUUAUCACGGGCAUUCUUGAAGCAAUACCAAUAUAUGUUGGAGUUAGCUCUGGAUCGAUUAACCCUCCAAAAUAUGAGAAAGAACCCCAAUGAGAGCUACAAAGAAUAUGCUGUUAGAUGGAAGAAUAUGGCAUCACAGGUACAAUCACCUCUUACCAAUAGGAAGUUGAAUUCCCUGUUUGUGGAUACCUUUCCUUCUCCCUAUUAUGAUAAGUUGAUCAGCAAUACUUCAUAAGAGUUUGCAAAUUUAUUGUUCGCUGUGGGUAGAAUUGAGGAUGGGAUAAGAAGGGGAAGAAUUAUAAAUACUGGUGAUGAAAAAAGAGAAGAUAUUUUUGCAAAACAAGCCCAAGAAAUAAUUGUUAAAGGGCAAAAUGAGAGAAAUCUCACCAUGAUGCAAGAAGAUCCAACGGAUGAUUAUUCACAAUGGCUACCAUAUUGCCCCCAACCAAUAUUUGCAAUCGAUGAUUUUCCUCGACCACUUCAUCUGUAUGCUCAAAUUCCUUCACCAUGAACAGAACCAAGGAUCAACUUAAGCCAUUCACAGAGUCGUAAGAGAAAGAGAGCCAAAGUGUAUCAUUCACUUUCAAUACCUUACGCUAAGCUCUUUACUUUACUGAUAGAGAAUCAUAUGAUCUCUGUUGUUCUUGCAAGACCCAGAAAGCCUCCGUACCCGAAGUGGUAUGAUCCUAAUGCUAAAUAUGAAUUUCAUGAUGUAGUUAAAGAACAUUCCAUAGAAGAUUGUACUGCCUUCAAGGAUAAAGUUCAAGCUUUGAUCGAUGCAAAUGCUGCAAAGUUUAAAGAGCUAGUUGGUGGUUUUGAUGAUUGAUAGUAGUAAAGUUGCAAGUUAGUGAUGCUAAAGUUAAAACAUCAAGGGGAAAACUUUUGUUUAUGUAACUUUAAAUAUCACCUCAAGAGUAUGAUCUAGAUAAUAAAUUCUUUUUGGUCAAGUCUUAAGGUUUGCAUUGCAUGAGCAAACAUUGUACAUCAUAGUGUUUUAUUUCAUGUAAGUUUCGAUAUAUAGUUCGUUUUUUUAAAAAAAAAAAAAGAGGGAAGAUAUUAGAUGUGAAUAAAGCCUCAUGUGGUUAACUAUCAAGGCUAGAGAAAUUUUCUUGAGAAAAAAAAACAAAAAAAAGAGAAAAAAGAAAAAAUGAAGUUUUAAGUCUAAGAUGAAUUGGCGAUCACUAUUAGAAAAUUUUUCAAAUACCUAACUGCCAAUUUGCUCAUUCAGUUGACCCCAUUUCAUUAGUCAUGACCCCUUGAUAGCCUUAAAUUCAAAUUUGUGAACCUUUUUUUCACCUGAUACUAUUGGCAAUAUUCUUUUCUAAGGCAAUGAACAAAUGAAACAGCCAUUAACAAAUGUGUGGUUCCUAGAAAAUCAAGUCUAUAUGACUUUUUUUUUAGAAUUCAAAUGCGAUAAUUGAAUAUGAUAAGAUUAUGCUGCAGUUCCAAAAUUUUCAAAUCCAAAAUACACUUAAACAUACUACCAUUUCAGUUUUUUUAUCCCAAAAUUAACCCGAUCCUUUGUCUUGAGGUAUAUUUGUCAGAAAAGAAAUAUCUCAUUACCUCUAAGGCAACUUGAGUUAUGAUUAACCUUUUUGUUCUCUUUUUGUGGAGUAACUUAGAUCAUUUGAUACCUUAAACAUGUUUACCCACAUAAUCUUUUUCUUAUCCAUUUCAUAUUACCCUUCUUUCAUUAUGGGUGGUUUGCUAAAAUGGGACAUCUUUCAUGAAACGUGUUACUGGCAAAAUGAAUCUAGGUGUGAACUAUGGGGGCAUAAAAAAAAUAAAAACAACAAAAAAAAGAGAAAAAAAAAGGAAAAUUUGGUUAUGACAUCAUGCACUAAAAAUUUGAGCAAAUCCAAAAAAGGUUAUGACAAAGUCAAGGUUUUGAAAAAAAAAAAAAAAAAAAAUUUUUUUUGAGAUUAAAAAAGAAAAAAACCUUUUUCCAAGUUCAUUUUCCUGAAGAGUAGUCUUCAAUUUAAGUGUUUAUGCUUGAAGUGACAAAUGGCCAUCUUUCAUUAUCUCUUCACAAAAAUAAAAAUUUAUCUCUUGUUACCCCUUUGAGCUUGAUUGAAUUCUUUCAAAAUAAACCCUGACUAAGGAUCACUUUUCAUAUUUGUGAAAAAAAAAACAAAAAAAAAGAAAUACGUUUGAAGGAUAAGAAUGAGAAUGUCUAAUGGAAUCUCAUGUGAUAGGGGCACAAACCCAGUAUAAAAGUUCAUAAAAGUUUUGAAUCCACUCAGUGAAAGGGUGUAAAAAAAAAAGGAAAGGAAGAAUAAAAAAAAAAGGGAAAGAAAUGAAUUGGUGGAAAGCACAAAAUAGAAUAUACCUUAGAGUGUAUCCUUCCAAUGAAAAAUGAUCCUUAGUUUCAAAUACCCUUAAAUAGUUGUUUUGGGCCUUUUUAUCCUUUUCUUUGGCGACCAUGAACCUUAACCUACAUUACAACCUUUGAAAAGUCCAUAUUGGAUCAGGCAUGAAAGCUUAAACUUGAAGAGUUUCUCUUAAAAAUGAACAUUAAUUUUUUGAGUUUUCCUUUUUGAAAAAAAUUUUUUCCUCUUUUGGAUUAGAUUUGAAUUCUCAAGUGCAUGGUGUGUAAAAAAAAAAAAGAGAAAAAUAGAAAUAAAUGUGGCUCUAGGGUGAAAACCCUCAAAAGGGCAGUCUAGAGCCAACCCUGAAAGGUCACUCCUGAUGCUAAGUAUGGUGGAUGCUAAACAAAAGUAAAGCCAAACCUUUUGAAAGAUCUAAAAUAUCAAAGCCAUAGAAGUCUGAGAUGGGUUGAUUAUUCCCAAAUAACCCUUUAAAAUCUUAAGCCCUUACAGCUGAUCUUAACAUAUAUCAAAAUGUCGCAUUUGGAGACUAAGAAAAAUGUUGAAUAUGUUUGAUUUUCAAGGAAUUCAUG